GACGAACGCUGGCGGCGUGCUUAACACAUGCAAGUCGAACGGAAAGGCCCUGCUUUUGUGGGGUGCUCGAGUGGCGAACGGGUGAGUAACACGUGAGUAACCUGCCCUUGACUUUGGGAUAACUUCAGGAAACUGGGGCUAAUACCGGAUAGGAGCUCCUGCUGCAUGGUGGGGGUUGGAAAGUUUCGGCGGUUGGGGAUGGACUCGCGGCUUAUCAGCUUGUUGGUGGGGUAGUGGCUUACCAAGGCUUUGACGGGUAGCCGGCCUGAGAGGGUGACCGGCCACCAUGGGCCCUGGAUUAGGCCCAAACUCCUCCGGGAAGGCAGAGUGGGGAAUAUUGCCCCAAAGGCGGAAACCUUCAGCAGCAACCCCGCCGGGCGGAAUACGGCCCUCCGGUUUUUAACCGCUUUCGCCUGUGACGAAGCGUGAGUGACGGUAAUGGGUAAAGAAGCACCGGCUAACUACGUG
This 468-nucleotide ribosomal RNA is filed under the name uncultured bacterium. RNAcentral describes it as "partial 16S ribosomal RNA". It matches the Rfam family "Bacterial small subunit ribosomal RNA", at positions 28 to 507 of the family's 1533-position model. The record is from RNAcentral.